RNAcentral lists this long non-coding RNA (952 nucleotides) under Lepeophtheirus salmonis (salmon louse). RNAcentral's name for it is "uncharacterized LOC121130741". Lineage: Eukaryota; Metazoa; Arthropoda; Copepoda; Siphonostomatoida; Caligidae. The record is from RNAcentral.
CAAAUGCUGUUCUUGAACUUCAUCGCUAAAUGCCCCAAAAGGAGAACUACUUACCAAAAGGGAAUUCUCAAAACAAAGGAGAAUAAACUUACCUCCUAAGUACUGGGGCGGCGGCCCAGGACCCCCAAAUUUACAAUAAUAUUAACUCAGCUGAAAACGGAGCUUAGAAAUCUAGUUUUGGCGUCAGAGAGAGAGAUAGUAUUGUGACUUAUUUCGCAUGGAUAUGAAUAUACAAACAGACAAAGAGAGCGCUAUUGACGUAGGAGAAUAAUACAUAUACCAGAUAAGUGGCGGGCAUUCCACAUCAAGUUUUGUACAAAGUUCCUCUUUACCAUUUACCUGUGAACACAACUUAAUGUACAUUAGUGGAGAUCAGGACUAACGACUAUUAAAAUGCGCACACGGAAAGGCUUGUUGCCAAAAGCAAAUAUCUUCUUGCCAAUGUUUCUAUAACAAUGACCACCAUCAUCAUCCCCUAUAUAUAUUUACUUUUAUUCUUAAAGUUAGUAAAAUUUAAUAUGUAGUUAUUUCUCUUUUAUCUUAUACAAAUAAAAUCCAGUAUGUAGCUAUAUACUAAAAAUAUUUUAUAACUGUUUCAGAAUUAAUUAACAAAUAUACCCUACUAGAAAAUAGCAAAAGGCAUAUUCUCAAGUACUACCUGUAAGAUGAGUUGUUUGAACUUUUUUUUUAACAUUGAGGUUAAGAUUUCAUAGUAUAUCAAGCGAGUAUAUUGGCAAGGAAGAACCAAAAUUUAUUCACAGAAGACUAUGAAUAAGUUUCAAUAAUGUCUAGGGGAUUUAUGCUUACUUUUUCUCGGCCAACCAGGAUAGUACCUUUUUGCACAUGGGCAGGUACCUUGUUGGAAGAAGCAUAGUGACAUUAUUUUUGUGUUUUAGCUUAUUUAUUUCUUACGACUAAUAGAUGUAUUUUGCUUAAUAAAGCCUUACUUCAA